CGGGGUAUAGCGCAGUCUGGCAGCGCGACGGCUUUGGGUGCCGUAGGUCGCAGGUUCGAAUCCUGCUGCCCCGACCA
Molecule: transfer RNA, 77 nt
Filed under: Gammaproteobacteria bacterium
Lineage: Bacteria; Pseudomonadati; Pseudomonadota; Gammaproteobacteria
Description: tRNA-Pro
Rfam family: tRNA
About the family: Transfer RNA (tRNA) molecules are approximately 80 nucleotides in length. Their secondary structure includes four short double-helical elements and three loops (D, anti-codon, and T loops).
Source: RNAcentral